This is a long non-coding RNA of Rattus rattus (black rat), 765 nucleotides long. RefSeq lists it as uncharacterized. NCBI's taxonomy places the organism in Eukaryota, Metazoa, Chordata, Mammalia, Rodentia, Muridae. The transcript has 2 exons. The record is from RefSeq and is a predicted model, not a curated record.
ACUGUCAUUAGGACAAAACGACAACCAACAGAUUAGGAAAAGAUCUUUACCAAUCCUACAUCUGAUAGAGGGCUAAUAUCCAAAAUAUAUGAAGAACUCAAGAAGUUAGACUCUAGAGAGUCAAAUAACCCCAUUAAAAUGGGGUACGGAGCUAAACAAAACAUUUUCAGCUGAGGAACUUCGAAUGGCCAAAAAGCACCUAAAGAAAUGUUCAACAUCCUCAGUCAUCAGGGAAAUACAAAUCAAAACAACCUUGAGAUUCCACCUCACACUAGUCAGAAUGGCUAAGUUAAAAAACUCAGGUGACAGCAGAUGGUGCUGAGGAUGUGGAGAAAGAGGAACACUCCUCUUUCUUGGUAGGACUGCAAACUGGUACAACCACUCUGGAAAUCAGUCUGGAGGUUCCUCAGAGCACUGGAUAUUCCACCACCUGAGGACACAGGUAAACCUCUCCUUGGCAUAUACCCUAAAAAUGGUCCAACAUACAACUGAGACACAUGCUCACUACGCUCAUAGCAACGUUAUUUUUAAUAGCAGAAGCUGGAAAGAACCCAGAUGCUCUUCAACAGAGAAGUGGACUAAAAAAUUUCAUAUAUCUACACAAUGGAGUACUACUCAGCUAUCAAAAACAAUGACUUCGUGAAAUUCACAGGCAAAUGGAUGGAACUAGAACAUACCAUCCUGAGGUUGGGGAUUUAGCUCAGUGGUAGAGAGCUUGCCUAGCAAGCGCAAGGCCCUGGGUUCAGUCCCCAGCUCCGAAAAAAA